This 231-nucleotide ribosomal RNA is filed under the name uncultured bacterium. RNAcentral describes it as "partial 16S ribosomal RNA". It matches the Rfam family "Bacterial small subunit ribosomal RNA", at positions 100 to 334 of the family's 1533-position model. The record is from RNAcentral.
CGGGACGGGUGAGUAAUGUCUGGGAAACUGCCGAUGGAGGGGGAUAACUACUGGAAACGGUAGCUAAUACGCAUAACGUCGCAAGACCAAAGAGGGGGACCUUAGGGCCUCUUGCCAUCGGAUGUGCCCAGAUGGGAUUAGCUAGUAGGUGGGGUAAUGGCUCACCUAGGCGACGAUCCCUAGCUGGUCUGAGAGGAUGACCAGCCACACUGGAACUGAGACACGGUCCAG